This is a long non-coding RNA of Sciurus carolinensis (gray squirrel), 457 nucleotides long. RefSeq lists it as uncharacterized. Lineage: Eukaryota; Metazoa; Chordata; Mammalia; Rodentia; Sciuridae. The transcript is spliced from 3 exons. The record is from RefSeq and is a predicted model, not a curated record.
GAUGCCCUCCCCCAUGGUGUGAUGCGGCAUGGGCCCUCCCCAGAUGCUGCACCAGGAUCUAGGACUUCCAGUCUCCAGAACUGUAGGCGUCAGAGUUUGAACCCGGGACUUCUGGCUCCAGGUCUUUCCUUGUGAGGACGAUCGUAUGUGUCACGUUGGAGUUUGCAGUCAGUUCAAGACAUGCUCCUGCCAAGGGAUCAACGACACCACAACACUGGCUUUGAUAACCACUUAAACAGCCAGAGAGGGCUCUGGGCCCUUCAUGGGUGUCUGGAUGGACAGGCUGGCCGAGUGUGGAAGGCGCACCUGCCUGAGUGUUGGGUGACGGCACUGUGACCUUUCCGGGCCCACACACCUCUCAGCCUUGGGUGCAGUGACUAUCUAGGAACUGAGAAGGGUUUUGCAGGGAAGGUGGGGACCGCCUCCUAAGUCAGCAAGGAGGGUUCCCCCUCCUCCA